Molecule: non-coding RNA, 107 nt
Organism: Brassica napus (rape)
Lineage: Eukaryota; Viridiplantae; Streptophyta; Magnoliopsida; Brassicales; Brassicaceae
Source: Rfam
AGGUGCGAUUAUAUCAUCACUAAUGCACUUAAUCCCAUCGAAUUUUUGCAUUAAACAUGCUUGGGCAAGAGUAAUAGACAUCCCAGAAAGUUCUGGUGUUGCACCUC